CUUAAAGUGAAAACUCCAUACAGCUGAGAGGAACUGUCUGUGUUCUCUAGUUCUUACCCUAUCAUUCUCACUGUUCUGAAGUGCAAAAGAAAAAGCUUCAACUUUCCUCUUCAGAUGCCAGUGGCUCCCUCUCUAAGCCUGGCUCUAACCCUUGCAGUCCAGAAAAUGGGGAGGCGCUAAAAGGCAGGAUUAAGUUUCCAGAGAGGACUGCCAGCUAGCUGUGUUUCAGGACUUGUAGGUUAGAAGGAAGUUUGCUGCUCUAAUGGAAGCCUGAGGAGCCCCUCUGGUUGCCAGGCAAGGGCUGAACUCCAAGCCAGGGGCUGCUCUUGGUGGUUAGGGAGCAGUCUCAAACAGGAAGGUGCCAGACAGCCAGAAGAGGCUGGAAGGUACUGUACUGUAGACCCGUACCAGGUGCUCCUGGUGCAGCAGGAGCCCACGGUGCCUGAUGGAGAUGCAGCUUUGGGGCAAUUCGAGAAGGUGCCACACUGGGAUCUACACACAGCUCCAGGAAGAGUGCAGGGGACACAGGGAUGUCUAUGCCUCAGCGAGGCAGUCACCCAGCAAGUGUGUUCCCUGGCCCCCUCGUGCCUGUCUUCCCUUGACUAUCCUUGCUUCCUCUUAGCUUUCAUUUGAAGGCAGCUGAGAGAGAAAUAAACUACCACCUCCCCACCUUGAUUUUGUUUCUUUGCUUUCAACAGUAAAUCAGGAUGGGGUAUGUGGAGAGACUGACAGUUUUGAUGUGAUGAAGGAGGUAAAACUCAGUGGUCCUGCAUGUGCCUCCUGGAGCUGUGCAGAAUUCCCGAGGAAACGUUGACUCUCAACAGGAAUAUCAAGGGAGAUCCCGAGGCUCACGGCUCUCCGCUGGCAUCUGGACAGUGCCUGUCUCCUGCAGCCACCCCGGGCAGCAGAGGCCGGGACCAGCGUUGAGAUCCGCCUGCCAGGACUCGGCCCCUCGAGGUCGGCACCCAGAGCAGUAAGGCAGAAGGCCGUCGCUGCCCCUUCACACCACACGGUUUUCCAGCAAAUACCGAGCUGAUCCCACCGCCUAUGCCCGAGGAGAGCAAAGCAGGGUGCCCUGGGAAGGUGGGAUCCGCGCACUCCAGAAGGCAGGGGCGCAUCAUCAGGGCCCAUCUGGGCAGCCCACCAGUCCCCGUGGGAUCAGUUGCUAUCUCCGCAAUAAUUAGACCCUCUGUCUGGGGGCGUUCCCCGCCAGCCGCAAGGGGGCGCGAAUCCGGGAGCGCUGCUACCCCAGCCUUCCCACUCCGGCACGACUAGGGCCCCGCGGAACUUCACGGGCUCAUUCUCCGAGCCACCGUGGUGGGGCAGGGGGGAUCCGAGACUGUGGGCAUGGAGUUACGGCCGCCUUUGCAUGAUAGCUGGCCGUUGGCCCGGGUUAGGUGGUCACCACCACCCAGUUCUUCUUAAAGCAGAAUCUGUCCCCUCCUUUCCGCCGCCCAAUUCGCUGGAAAUGCACUGGAGGAUGAACUACGGAGCGGAAAGCUGGGUUGAAGCAGAUACAUUUCCAAGCCGUUCACUCUCCUCGCCGCCCGAAGAGUUUGGAGAAGCGGAGUGACUGGGAAUCACAGUGAAUUACCGAACUUCCUAACUUGCCUCCCCGUCUCUGGUCACCUUUUGCCAGCCUUGGACCCGGGAGAGGGCUCACCCUUCGCCGGCAGCCGGCAGCGGCGCUUCCCGCGCGGCGCCGCUGACGCACAGUGAAGACUCAGAGCUUUGGCUGGUCCGGAGACUCCAAACCCGGGUGACCUGGGUAUGGCGCGGUGCUCAUGGGCCAGAGCGCACAAGGCUCGGGUUGCAAAUGCUGUAACUAAAAUGUGAUGAGCGCAAACAGUGUGCCAAGCUCACCUAUUCAACAACCAUUAAGAUAUUGAUAUUUCCUUUUCACGGAGGCGACAGCCAAGGCUGGAGAAAAUGGAAUCAUACAGCCCUGAACCCAGAGGACUCCUACGCACCCCCAGUCAGGGCCCACUCCAGAGCAAUGGGAGAGGGAGCGGGCCCUCGGGCGGCUGUUCCUCGGAAGUGUAAGGGCCAGACAAACUCCGAGCAGCGAGCAGCGGUUCUCAGAGCUCCCCAGGAAUCUCUGCCCUUUGUCGCUCCAGUGAGCUAGGACUCCAGGCUCCUCUCACCCUGGCACCUCCUAAAGGAACUUCAGGGCCUCUGCUGGAGCUUGGAGCAGCGUCAGACCGGCGUUAACUCAUUUGUACAACUUGAUUGUUCAGUCUUUGAAGACCAGCAUCUUGCCUUGUGUGGGUAGACAAUAACAGCCACAUCCAGGACAGGAGCUUUUACUGAAGAUCAUUAUGUGCCAGGCAUUGUCUGAACGCUUUAGUUUUUCUCAUUAAAUAAUUCCAAGGAUCGACAUACUAGUCCUUAUUCCCAUUCGAGGGAAGAAGAACAGAGGCACAGAGGGGUUAAGUAACCUGACCAAGGUCACACAAUAAUUCUGUGAAUACAAGUCUCUCUUUUUUUUGGAGGGGGCAGUUUUAUUAAGAUGUAAUUACACACAGUAAAAUUCACACUUUGCACUGUUCAUGGAGUUCUGAGUUUCCAAAACCACAGUGGUGUGGAUAGCAUCAAAAUCAGAAAGUAGAGACUUUGGAUUACUCAUCCCCUUCCCUGACAGCGUCACUGCUACCCUCUCCAGCUUCUCAGGCAGCAUUGGCUGUAUUUCUGCACAUGACAAAAUGAGGUCGGAGAGGUUGUGGUGUUGCCCAAAAUCCUUCAGUUAGUAAAAAUUCCGGGAAUGGAACCAUUGUAUGUGUCUGCUGGUCCAGCUGCCUGCAGAGUCGAGAUUCCUGAGUCUACCAAGGAAGGAAGGAAGCCCCGAUGCAGGCACAGAUACUUAACCAAAUACCCACUCUCUGGAUGGCUUAGGAACAAAAGAGGGUCGGAUUCUGAGAGGCCCAAAGCCAUGAGCAAAGUAAGCGGCAGGCCCAUGACCUGAGAGCUCAGGGUCUGAGUCCAGCCCUGAGCGCCCAGCCUCCUCUGGCCAGUGCAAUUAAUGAGUUACUCUGCUAGUUAAUGUCCACUCACGGAGGGCCCAGCAGCGCCCUGGGGCCCGAGCUUGGACUCAGACCCUGAGCUUGGAGCAGAACUGGCUAGCUUUUCCUCCUUCAAAAAGGUGGGCACCUCCCUUGCUCUCUCCCACCUGCCCACCAGCCAGAGACCUGGAGCAAUCCUGGCCUUCGAAGGGCAGUUUCCAAGAGGUAGGUGGCUUGUGGAGGAUGCCACAGGACCUGACUUGGCCCUUGAGCCAUCUCUCAUCUGCUCUGCCAAAAUUUUCCCCCAGAACAAGAGGUUGAGAGGCCCGGUCACCAGCUGGCUCCCUUAGAACACUUGCCCAGUGUCCUGGCUAAAGAGGUGAAAGCUACCGGUUACACCUUAAGGACCCAGUGCUGAACAUUUUACCUACAUUUACUUACCACACACUGCUGGGGUCUCACCAGGACUGUAGUCCCCUUGGUCAAUGACUUUUAUACCCCCAGCCAACAUUGCUAAUGCCAACUGCAAUAAAUGGCCAUUUCCCGCCCCAUGAUCUGGGCGGGCUUUCAGUGGCCUUGGUUUGGAGCACUGGAGGCUGAAUGCUGAAGCCUGGCUCUACCCUGCAGUCCUACAGAAGAUCACACAGAAAAGUGGCCUCUCUCUCUUACCUCAGGAUCCUGGUUGCAGUCUGCCCAAACUGGGUGUUUGUUUCCAGCUUCAGAAACUCUAGGACUGACUCCUACCUCUACUGGAGCUUGCUGGCCCAAAGACCUCCACCCUUCACUUCAUGGGGACUUCAAGGCUCCUUGCUGGCGCAGGCAAGUGGUGCCUCUGUCUCCACAGCCUAGUCAGGGGUACUGCCUGCCGGGCCCGGAGAAAGUAUUUUGGGGGAUGACGGUCCAGGCCUGAGGAGAGUAGUCUUUGGGUUCACCUGCAUGCCAAGGUGCUGGACCCAAUGCUCAGAAUCUGAGUGUGGAAAAAAAGGUCCAAAGCAUGGCCACCUGGAACAAAGAGGGAGAACUCAGGCAGGGCCCCAGCCUGGAGCCAUGGUGCAGAGGUCCAAAGCCUGAGGCAGCAGCCAGUUUAUCCCACAGUGAGGCCAAAGCUGAGGACCACAAGGAUCCCCAGAGUAAAUGUGUGUGUGUGUGUGUGUGUGUGUGUGUGUGCACCCGCAUGCUUAUGUGCCCUGAAAAGAUCGAGGGGUACAAGACAGGUGAUCUCUGGAGCUCCCAGCUAAUCUAUUUGGAACUCCAACAACACCAGAAAGCACCUCUCCCAACUUCUCUUUUGUCUGGAAGGUUUCUCAAGGAUGUUUCUGGUCAUUUCCCCCUCCUCCACACAACACAGUACAGUACCUGGAAUAAAGUCAAGAAAUUGGUAGAACCAAAUACAUAGCAGUGGAUGAGACCAGCGGAGGUAAAGAGAAGACCAGAGGGCAAGGAAUGGAGAAGCUGGGGGACCCUGGAGCAUGUCCUAGGACUCCUGAUCCUUGGUUGAAUCUGGUGGAGUUGCGGCUUCCCUUUUGGGGUCUGUACUUCUCCUGAUAGACUUCUCCCAGGUCUCACAGCAACCUAGCCAGGAAACACAGGCAUUUCUUCCUCCUUAAAAUAAAUGACCCAGGCCUGGUUGUAAUAGAUUUAAAAGACGCCAGCAUUUUUUAUUAUUAAUUGCAAAAUACCUGCUGGUACUUCACUUUAUAAGAAUGUAAUUGGCAAAAGGGAGGGGGAGAGGAAAAAAGAGGCGGCUGAUGAAUAGAUAAUAGAUCUUUAACCACCAAUAAACAGAGAGCAGCGCCAGCAGCCUGGGGGAUGUGAUCAUAAUUAUGCCACAGCACGAGCCAAUGGGGACCGAGAACUCGGCCCUAAAAUCAUCCCAAAACUGAAGGCGAGCUCGAAAAUGCGGACACGGCCUGGAACUGGAGACGCGAUCUGCAGUCUCUAGUUGAGAGUCCUGGAUUUGCACUGCAACCCAGCCCUGGGACAACAGAUGGCAGAAUAAUAAUAGAAAUAAUAAUAACAACAGCAAGAGCAGCAGUAACAGUAACAAUGUCAGCACUAAUACAAACAAUAACGACCACGAAAUAAUAAUAGUACCGCAUCAGCUUCUCCCUUGUCCUAGGAGCCUGGAUCCCAGUGGCCCACGAGGAAUUGUUUUAGGGAACAAGGCGAGCACCCUCUCAGACAGAAAAAGCGGGAGGCUGUGCAGUGAGGGCGGGUGUGAGUUGGAGUAGGAGGCCCACGCCUACAGGGUUGGCAGCUCCCGCGUCCCAAUUCGCAAACGAACGAGCCGGGUCAAGGAAAGCGAACGCGCAGACUCUGCGACCUCUGAGCUACCGGUGGUUGGGGUGGGACACUGGGACCCCCCCCCCCACACACACCGCAGGGAAUUUUGCUGGGGUGGGGAUUGGUCCAGUCUAACGGAGCCUUUAGCCCUCGCCCGGAGCCAUUCCCCACCCGCUUACCCGCGCAGAACCCCCGGGCGAUCUCGGCUCCACCGACGCGGGCCGCGGAGGGCAGCAGUGGCAGAGCGGCGAGCGAGAGGAAUCUCCGCGUCUGUCUGUCCGUGUGUCCUACCAGCUCCGGCGCAGCGGGCUCGGGUCCCGGGGCCCGCGUGGAGGCAGGCGGCCAGGCCCGGGGAAUCUGCAGGGACCCUGGUGCCCCAGAGGGAGUGGUGCUGGUAGAGGAGGAGGCGAAGGCUGAGGGGGAGGGGAAAGAGGAGGAGGAAGAAAAGAAGGAGGAGAAGAAAGAGGAAGAG
RNAcentral lists this long non-coding RNA (5754 nucleotides) under Heterocephalus glaber (naked mole-rat). RNAcentral's name for it is "lncRNA (ENSHGLG00000039687.1)". The record is from RNAcentral. Lineage: Eukaryota; Metazoa; Chordata; Mammalia; Rodentia; Bathyergidae.